GGGCCACAUCUUCCAGAAGAUUCAUAGGAACUGCAGGAGGCCCUGGGAGGUCCUCAGGGGCUUCCCCCCAGGGCGGAGCCCGCAACCUUCUUCCCCAGGGCCCUCAGAGAAGGAGCUGGGGUUACACGGCUCAGAGGUGAGAAGUGGGCUUAAGGAGGGAAAAGCAGAUGAGAGGGACCACGAAUGCCCCACCUCGCAUCUUUCCAGGAAGAAGGAGAAGAACCUCUCCAGCUCUGGGAAAGAGCACCCAGAAUAGCAGGGAGGGGCCCACGUCUGCAACAGCCUCUCUUGGUCGCUCUUCUCCCUGAGUCCCCCCCAUCAGAGGGGUCCCUCCAGGCCUGGCUCCUCAUUGCCGGGGUGGGGACACCUUCAGAGGUGACGCCCAUGUCUUUCCAGGGCUUUGGAGGCACAGAAGUGGGAACGGACAGCGGGAGGCUUAGGUAAACACUGCCACAACAGGAACUGCUCGGAAUAGGCCUUACAGCUGCGUCUGGGGAGACUGAACUUGACAGAGCAGGGAGGUCUGGACUGGGAACCUGGGGUGGGGCUCAUCUCCAUAGCAACCAGAAACAGCCCCAGCCAGGCCCUGGCUCUGCCUUCUGAUGGAGGAGCUUGUGUUGCUGAAAUACCCACAGGCAAAAUGACGCGCCCGGAAUAGCUCGGUUCCACAUCACCAGCCCCUCAUGGGGCACCUGCCACUCCGACAUCGUGGCCACCCAACCAGCAGCAGGUGGCUGAAAGCUGAAGGUCACCAGGAGUCUUUCUCUCACUGGCUUGUUUGAAAGAUGACCACUGGCGGAGUGAAAAAAACCCUGGCAUAUCAAGCAUGGGUUUAUUCGAUAACACUCAGGUACGAGAACCGUCGGUAUUUUUCCUAAAUCAAAUAAAAUUUGAUUAUGAGCCGC
Long non-coding RNA from Felis catus (domestic cat), 905 nucleotides. RefSeq lists it as uncharacterized. NCBI's taxonomy places the organism in Eukaryota, Metazoa, Chordata, Mammalia, Carnivora, Felidae. The record is from RefSeq and is a predicted model, not a curated record. The transcript has 2 exons.